Molecule: long non-coding RNA, 1652 nt
Organism: Papaver somniferum (opium poppy)
Lineage: Eukaryota; Viridiplantae; Streptophyta; Magnoliopsida; Ranunculales; Papaveraceae
Exons: 3
Source: RefSeq, a predicted model, not a curated record
AUCAGAAAGCAAAAUUCUCUUCUCUCAAAUUAUUUUCUUCAGCAGAAGCUUUGGUUGUUCCAGUUUCAAAGUCCAUAAGAAUCUCAGGUAACAUUGAUACCUUAUCAUCUUCAUCCUCUUUAUUCGUAGUUAAUCUCUUAGUUCAGAUUCUACUGUAUUUACCAGUCAAAUCUCUCCCUUGUCAAAACAACGGUUAUCACUCAUCUCUGAUUCACAUUUCAUCCCAAAUCACUGUAUUCAUAAUCCUCCAAAUGUAUCUGGAUUGAUUUUGAACCGGUCAUCAUCAUCAUCUCCCUCAGUUUUAGAUCCAAAAUAUGCUUUUUUUCAUCAUUGAUGUCAUUAUCAAUAAUGGUAGUUCUAACUUCUAACAAUGCCCCAUUUGAAGAACCAAAGGAUUUAUGAAUGACCCAUUUUUUAUCCGACAGAAAUUGUAGAAUCUUCUAUUUUAGGGAUUCAAUGUUUGGAUUCGUCUUCUCGUGUUAGUUUAGCAUUUGAUCCACUUAAAAUUGUCUGCAUUUGGAGAAUUGGGAGAGUGAAUGUGAUGAAUUAUAAGAUUGAGAUUUGCUCCUUGGAAACAAGUUCUUGGAGACUCUGUGGAGAGGCACCUAUUCUACUACAAGUACUGCAUUCCAUUUUUCUGGUGUUUCUUUCUGAAAAAUUGCUUGAAUUGAUGGAGAAGAACUAAAAAGUUUGCCAUUUUGCCUGAUAAACAGUGAUACUGAAAUGAAGUGGAAGCAUGAGAAUAUUCUGUAUUUUGGUGAGUGCGGGGGUCAUUUGAAUUUUAUUCUAAGGGGUAAGAAUUUGCCAAAUUGCUCUAAUAUCUUCGAGAUGGAGGUUGAUUACAGAGGUUGGAAAUCAAUAUACUGGGUAAAUCUAGAUGGGUUUCUAUUUUCAAAUGGUUAUUCGCUGUAUGAUAUUGCAGAUUAUGAUAAUUUCUUGGGCACUAUCUUAUGUAUGAGGAAGUUGAUGGUGAUGAAGUGGAGUCAAAGGUGCAUACAAAUUUACUAGACAAGAUUAUAUCUUACUACCUCCGUUUCUGGAAAAGAGUUAUUAUUGUUUUUUCACAGAUGUGUGCUGGCUGGAAUGAUUUCUGUUCAAGAACAUGGCAGCAUGCUCAUCAUUAUAUCGAAUCUGUUGCUAAUGUUUGACUAUCCCAAUUGAUGUUUCAAAUCUUCUCCGGUUUCUCUAUGUGUGGAGGGUUCUUAAUUGCUAUCUGAAGCCCAUAUCAAGGCUUGUUCUUUUGUUUCGACACAUGCUGUUUUUGUGGAGGGUUAGAGCCUCCGCUGUAGGACCAGGCGCAACCAGGAUGAUAAUGUCGAGGCCCAAGAAGAGAUGCUGAAGAGGGCAACCUGAUCAAUGGACCUGCUAGCAGAUAAAUAUUUCAAAUUUUGUUGCAGAAGUCUGCCACUGCCAUGCUUUGCAUUAGGUGUAAUAUGGACAUAGCUCUCAUCAAAAACCAACUUACAAAGGAAGCAACGACCGGAUGUUAGAAAGAUCAGAAGCGAAGGUUAUUCAGGGGAUGACUUUGACAAGGCUGGACAAGAUGAAGACAAUCCUUGUCAGCAAAGGGAAGUUGCCUAUUCAUUAAAAGUUUCUUUCCAUUACAGGAACAAACACUUGUUACCGGAUUUAGAUUGGUUUCCUAAUUUGAA